AUACGGAGGAUGCGAGCGUUAUCCGGAUUUAUAAGGUUUAAAGGGUGUGUAGGCGGUAUUUUAAGUCAGUGGUGAAAUCUCGGAGCUUAACUUCGAAACUGCCAUUGAUACUGGAAUACUUGAGUAUAGUUGAGGUAGGCGGAAUAUGUAAUGUAGCGGUGAAAUGCAUAGAUAUUACAUAGAACACCGAUUGCGAAGGCAGCUUACUAAACUAUUACUGACGCUGAUGCACGAAAGCGUGGGGAGCGAACAGGAUUAGAAACCCCAGUAGUCC
This 274-nucleotide ribosomal RNA is filed under the name uncultured bacterium. RNAcentral describes it as "partial 16S ribosomal RNA". It matches the Rfam family "Bacterial small subunit ribosomal RNA", at positions 523 to 796 of the family's 1533-position model. The record is from RNAcentral.